CAGCCCCGUCGCCCGCACGGCGGACGACUUCUCCGCGGAGUCGGGCCGCGGGCUGCUCCUGGUCGAGUCGUUCAGCGACGGCUGGGGCUGGC
RNAcentral lists this transfer RNA (92 nucleotides) under Streptomyces sp. AVP053U2. Its description in RNAcentral is "tRNA-Arg". The record is from RNAcentral. Lineage: Bacteria; Bacillati; Actinomycetota; Actinomycetes; Kitasatosporales; Streptomycetaceae.